Long non-coding RNA from Platichthys flesus (European flounder), 400 nucleotides. RefSeq lists it as uncharacterized. The record is from RefSeq and is a predicted model, not a curated record. The transcript has 2 exons. Lineage: Eukaryota; Metazoa; Chordata; Actinopteri; Pleuronectiformes; Pleuronectidae.
ACAGACAACCAGCAUCACUGUUAACACCAUGGAGGAGGAUGAUUCAGAUCCUGUCCACUCAGAGAGUCUGAUGGCUUGUGCCUUUGGGCUAAAGACCACACCUGAAGAGGUACAACUGCCCAAAAGAAGAAAACACCCUGGAAGGAGACAGACGUGAAGGCAGUGGAAAGGCACAUGAAUCGAUUCAUCACAUCUUGUAUUGCUCCAGCAAAGUUUGACUGUGAGAAGUGUAAAAGGGCUGAUCCAGAAGCUCUUAAGGACCGGAGCUGGCAGAAUGUGAAAUUCUACAUAUAUAAACGCAUUACAGCCAACAAGAGGAAAUUAAGUAAAUAAUGGGAAGAUUACAACCAGUAAGCGGUUGCUAUGUGGUUGUCUGAAAUUAAAAAUAUCUUACAAAUUU